This is a long non-coding RNA of Dermacentor silvarum, 1062 nucleotides long. RefSeq lists it as uncharacterized. The record is from RefSeq and is a predicted model, not a curated record. Lineage: Eukaryota; Metazoa; Arthropoda; Arachnida; Ixodida; Ixodidae. The transcript is spliced from 3 exons.
GUCCCUGUGUGCCUAGAAGCAUCCGCUGGCCCAACACACGCAUGCACGUUGCGCGGGAGCGGCCGCAUACAAAACGCCGCCGACAAGAAUUCGCGGUGAGAACGUCGUCGACCGCAUUACCGCCAACCCAAAGGACUGCGACCUCAAGGCCUUGCUCCUUCAGCUGUAGCGCGACGUGAGCCCUGCCAUUUCACUUUCAAGAUACGUAAGCUGCUUCGACACUGAAAAUGCCGACGCAAUGGUGCAUCUGAACAGCUAAUGGAUACCAUGCCCACUCUGUAACGACCAGUGCUUUUAAUGAAACAGCACGGCGGAAUAAAGUCAACCACGUGAGGCACCUCAGACAGCAUAUGCAGUGGGUUGUGACGGAUUCAAUGAUUUCAUCAGCAUUUUCACUGGAUGCAAGGCUGUGAAUCUCUUGUAUGAUGCAUGUGUGGAAAAGAAACCCAACAUCCGGUGCACAUGCCUGCUUGAAACAGUCGGGCAUAUCCCAUUAGUUGAGUGCCCCUGUGUCGGCAUUUGCUGAUGUGAUCCCAGCUAUCUUCACCCAUUACAUUCUGCUGAAUUUACUGCAGCCACCCUUUGGAAAAAUAGCACAUGGCAAUUAUUUCAAGGUAAUUAGUUCUCCCAUACAGAAAAAAUACCAUUAGCAGUACUCGUGGAUGGGAUAAUCUGCCACUUUGCAAUGGUGGCGAGCAUAAAUCCCACUAGCUGUAGUAACACCAGUUUUGACAUUAGGAAGCAACUUUCUUGCAGCUAGACUUCAUAUGUACUAUGUUUCGUGCAACGUCAGUGUUCAGAAUAAAAGCAUUUGACCACUGCAAACUGUCGUUUUUUUUUCUUCUAGACGUACAUAUGAACACAUUCUUGAUAUAAAAAGACAUGCAGGGCUGUAUUACAGCACAGAAAUGUUUGGACAAUUCAAGCUCAUUAAUUCAGAAUGUAAGUUUGAAAAUUCUAAGGAAUCAAACCAUUCUGUUUUCAGUGCACUGAAGUACACAAAGUGCACUUCAGCCACCAAAUGCAAUUGACAAGGUUGAUAACAUUUAUGAGUUAUGACGG